Long non-coding RNA from Anthonomus grandis grandis, 714 nucleotides. RefSeq lists it as uncharacterized. The transcript has 4 exons. NCBI's taxonomy places the organism in Eukaryota, Metazoa, Arthropoda, Insecta, Coleoptera, Curculionidae. The record is from RefSeq and is a predicted model, not a curated record.
UCAGUUUUUUGGGAUUUCCCGCCAAACGAUACUUAUUAUGGGAAAAAUUUUUUUUUCAAAAAAUAACUUUAUCCUUUACCUUUCAUAUGCCAUAUAACCGAAAUUUUUGGGAACCAUACAGGGCGAGCAAUAAUGAACUUUACCCAUGAAGGUCCGACCCGAAAAUCACAUUUUAUUUAAUAACUUUUUCGUAGUAGCAUCUGGACCAUUUAUAUUCUCAGGCAUUAAAUACUUUAAUAACCCCAAUAUUUAUGUAAAAUUACAAUCUUCCAACAUUAAUAGGUUCUGAGCAAUUCGAAUUUUCGCGUUUAAUUCAUUUGCCACGUCCCUGUACAUGGUGAAAAGAUCAGACAUCAUCUAAAAGAUCCGAAAUUUUGUUUUACAACACAUACUAAAAUUUCAGGGUUCCAGCGAUAGUACAAGUACCCGAAAAAUGCGAUUUUAUGAAAAAAGUCCAUUUUUUUGCGUUUUUGCAGGUAAUUGGAGGUGUCAACCUAAACUCUGAUGAAAUGGCUGGUGGGAACAAUACUUUGACGCAUGGUGGAUACAAAUUUUUUGCUCGUGACAGGUGGCCGGGACUUGGUUUGGUUUUUUGUAAAAUUAUGAAUGAAAAUGAACCGGAAACGAUCAGGGAAAGGAAGCACCGAAUCAGAAAAUGAAUGGGCUUUCCGAAUCUGUGCAUAUCAAUUGGGGAAAUUGUGUAUUGCGGCCAGG